Molecule: transfer RNA, 127 nt
Filed under: Lachnellula subtilissima
Lineage: Eukaryota; Fungi; Ascomycota; Leotiomycetes; Helotiales; Lachnaceae
Rfam family: tRNA
About the family: Transfer RNA (tRNA) molecules are approximately 80 nucleotides in length. Their secondary structure includes four short double-helical elements and three loops (D, anti-codon, and T loops). Further hydrogen bonds mediate the characteristic L-shaped molecular structure. tRNAs have two regions of fundamental functional importance: the anti-codon, which is responsible for specific mRNA codon recognition, and the 3' end, to which the tRNAs corresponding amino acid is attached (by aminoacyl-tRNA synthetases). tRNAs cope with the degeneracy of the genetic code in two manners: having more than one tRNA (with a specific anti-codon) for a particular amino acid; and 'wobble' base-pairing, i.e. permitting non-standard base-pairing at the 3rd anti-codon position.
Source: Rfam by way of RNAcentral
GCCUGGUUAGUUCAGUGGUAGAAUACAUGCUUUGGGUAUUUGACGCUUUGAGGUUGGUACUUGCUAGCUUCCGGUGUUACUCAAAUCUGAUUGUAUGUGGUCGCAGGUUCAAUCCCUGCAUCAGGCC